Astatotilapia calliptera (eastern happy) is the source of this 493-nucleotide long non-coding RNA. The record is from Ensembl. NCBI's taxonomy places the organism in Eukaryota, Metazoa, Chordata, Actinopteri, Cichliformes, Cichlidae.
CAACAACAGCCCUGGCAAAAGGUUCAGGUGAAUGCAUUUUCUCUGAAUCUUCUGCAACUUGUUUUGGCGCUACAGGACAGCCGGUAAUUUUUCAUCUGUCAUAUAAACGUGGUACUUCGAUUGUAACCACGAAGGAUGACAAACACAGGAUUUUGAAAAUAAGCAAUCAAGGGAAAGUUACAUUAGAUAAGGAAUAUGUAAAUCAGUCAGACAGCAUAGACACUGUAAUACUCAAAGUAGGUGAAGCCUCGAAGAAACAUUCUGGACAUUACCAGUUGGAAGAACAUGAUCAUGAUGGAAAGUUACUGAAAAAAAUUAAUGUAUAUCUAAAAAUACAAGCUCGAGUGUCAAAGCCAGGACUGUCUCAGAAAUGCUUGUCAUCAGAACAGAUGGAGGUCAGCUGCUUCUCUGAAGGAGAUGGAGUACAAUUUAUUUUGACUUUGGAUGGUCAGAUACUUACACAAAGCAACAAUCACAACCAGUCUCUAAACAU